Molecule: ribosomal RNA, 631 nt
Filed under: uncultured bacterium
Lineage: Bacteria
Description: bacterial SSU rRNA
Rfam family: Bacterial small subunit ribosomal RNA
Source: RNAcentral
GCGGUAGAGAGAAGCUUGCUUCUCUUGAGAGCGGCGGACGGGUGAGUAAUGCCUAGGAAUCUGCCUGGUAGUGGGGGAUAACGUCCGGAAACGGACGCUAAUACCGCAUACGUCCUACGGGAGAAAGCAGGGGACCUUCGGGCCUUGCGCUAUCAGAUGAGCCUAGGUCGGAUUAGCUAGUUGGUGGGGUAAUGGCUCACCAAGGCGACGAUCCGUAACUGGUCUGAGAGGAUGAUCAGUCACACUGGAACUGAGACACGGUCCAGACUCCUACGGGAGGCAGCAGUGGGGAAUAUUGGACAAUGGGCGAAAGCCUGAUCCAGUCAUGCCGCGUGUGUGAAGAAGGUCUUCGGAUUGUAAAGCACUUUAAGUUGGGAGGAAGGGCAGUAAAUUAAUACUUUGCUGUUUUGACGUUACCGACAGAAUAAGCACCGGCUAACUCUGUGCCAGCAGCCGCGGUAAUACAGAGGGUGCAAGCGUUAAUCGGAAUUACUGGGCGUAAAGCGCGCGUAGGUGGUUCGUUAAGUUGGAUGUGAAAUCCCCGGGCUCAACCUGGGAACUGCAUUCAAAACUGACGAGCUAGAGUAUGGUAGAGGGUGGUGGAAUUUCCUGUGUAGCGGUGAAAUGCGUA